AGGACGAACGCUGGCGGCGUGCUUAACACAUGCAAGUCGAGCGAGGCCCUUCCUUCGGGAAGGUGCCCUAGCGGCGAACGGGUGAGUAACACGUGGGCAACCUGCCCCUAGCACUGGGAUAACUCCGGGAAACCGGGGCUAAUACCGGAUAUGACCUUUGAGGGCAUCCUCUUUGGUGUAAAGGAUUCUGGCUAGGGAUGGGCCCGCGGCCUAUCAGCUUGUUGGUGGGGUAAUGGCCUACCAAGGCGACGACGGGUAGCCGGCCUGAGAGGGCGACCGGCCACACUGGGACUGAGACACGGCCCAGACUCCUACGGGAGGCAGCAGUGGGGAAUAUUGCACAAUGGGCGAAAGCCUGAUGCAGCGACGCCGCGUGAGGGAUGACGGCCUUCGGUUGUAACCUCUUUCAGCUCCGACGAAGCGAAAGUGACGGUAGGAGCAGAAGAAGCACCGGCCAACUACGCGCCAGCAGCCGC
Molecule: ribosomal RNA, 476 nt
Filed under: uncultured bacterium
Lineage: Bacteria
Description: SSU rRNA
Rfam family: Bacterial small subunit ribosomal RNA
Source: RNAcentral